GACGGGGGCCCGCACAAGCAGUGGAUUAUGUGGUUUAAUUCGAAGCAACGCGAAGAACCUUACCAGGGCUUGACAUCCUCUGACCGCUCUAGAGAUAGAGUUUCCCUUCGGGGCAGAGAGACAGGUGGUGCAUGGUUGUCGUCAGCUCGUGUCGUGAGAUGUUUGGUUAAGUCCAAUAACGAGCGCAACCCCUAUGGUCAGUUGCCAUCAUUUAGUUGGGCACUCUGGCAAGACUGCCGCGGACAACGCGGAGGAAGGAGGGGACGACGUCAAAUCAUCAUGCCCCUUAUGUCCUGGGCUACACACGUAAUACAAUGGCAACGACAGAGGGCAGCAAACCCGCGAGGGUAAGCAAAUCCCCAAACGUUGUCUCAGUUCGGACUGCAGGCUGCAACCCGCCUGCACGAAGUCGGAAUUGCUAGUAAUGGCAGGUCAGCAUACUGCCGUGAAUACGUUCCCGGGCCUUGUACACACCGCCCGUCACACCAUGAGAGUCUGCAAUACCCGAAGUCAGUAGCCUAACCGCAAGGAGGGCGCUGCCGAAGGUAGGGCCGAUAAUUGGGGUGAAGUCGUAACAAGGUAGCCGUUCGAAA
This 593-nucleotide ribosomal RNA is filed under the name uncultured bacterium. RNAcentral's name for it is "bacterial SSU rRNA". It matches the Rfam family "Bacterial small subunit ribosomal RNA", at positions 912 to 1509 of the family's 1533-position model. The record is from RNAcentral.